Zootermopsis nevadensis is the source of this 498-nucleotide non-coding RNA. The record is from RefSeq and is a predicted model, not a curated record. Lineage: Eukaryota; Metazoa; Arthropoda; Insecta; Blattodea; Termopsidae.
UGUUCGUCGGGCGGGUAUCCGUCCACGGACAGAUGUGGGAUAGACAGGAGCGUAUGACAGGCAUAACACAAUUACUAACUCAAUGCAAAAAUGGCACAAGUCGAAAGCCUUUCAGCGCAAGAGCGUCCUAAGUAAGAAAAUCAUUCACUGUCACACGUGACAUAAGCGUAGACGGGCUCACGUGGAAACAACAGAGAGCAGAUAGACUUGGACAGACACAGAAAGAUAUAGUCCAAAACAGGUUGCUAAGCGACCGCUGCUUCUGUCGCAUGUCUGUACAAGGAGUGUGCUUCAGACUUCUGCGUCAAUUCGUAACAUUUCCAGAUGUAAUCAGAAUCUUGGAACCCUAGCAAUGGACACUGUUCGCCAUGAAACGAGUUUCGUAUAACUGAUAACUUAUGCAUCUCGUGAAUUGCCAGGAGUUCGAGAGGAAGAGUCUCUGCCAUGUUUUCUGUAUCAGCCACAGCCAAAGAGGUCACGAAAUUCCGGGUGUGAUCG